Molecule: long non-coding RNA, 429 nt
Filed under: Gallus gallus (chicken)
Lineage: Eukaryota; Metazoa; Chordata; Aves; Galliformes; Phasianidae
Source: RNAcentral
GGUUCAAGAGGUCCAAGAAACUGAUGCCAGCCGGACUUGUAGCAUGCCUGAGCCUUCUGAUGAUUUUGAGGCUUGUUUUUAUGCUUCUAUAGGAGAAUGUAGCAACUUGAGAACUGAAGUAUGACAGCCAUGCCUACCUCACAAACAGGCAGGCUCUCCAUACUUGAAAAACAAAUUAGAACACAUCUUACUUUGCUUUUAUCUUUUCUGUAAAAGAUCAAUACCUGUACCCUAAUUACUGGCACUUGCCAGCUGGCAUUUUGCAAGCUAUUUGUAAAAGCUAAAACAGUUUUGUUAAUGAUACAUUUUGAUCUGCUUAAGCAAUCUGUUAACUCGAGGGACCUUUACCUCUAGGUUUGAUAGCUUUCAAAGGUGCUGAGCACACCAGGAAACUGCAUUAGCAUUGCACUGUAUCCCAGAGAUGUAUUG